AUUGCUUUAAACCUUUUGGUUAUAAAUAAUUGUUAGUGGCAGACGGGUGAGUAAUGCGUAGGAAUCUACCUAGUAGUAUGGAAUAGCCAUUAGAAAUGAUGGGUAAUACUGUAUAAUCCCUGCGGGGGAAAGGUUUAUCGCUAUUAGAUGAGCCUACGUUAGAUUAGCUAGUUGGUAAGGUAAUGGCUUACCAAGGCUAUGAUCUAUAGCUGGUCUGAGAGGACGAUCAGCCACACUGGAACUGAGAUACGGUCCAGACUCCUACGGGAGGCAGCAGUGGGGAAUAUUGGACAAUGGGCGAAAGCCUGAUCCAGCUAUGCCGCGUGAGUGAAGAAGGCCUUCGGGUUGUAAAACUCUUUCAAUAGGGAAGAUA
Molecule: ribosomal RNA, 373 nt
Filed under: uncultured Ehrlichia sp.
Lineage: Bacteria; Pseudomonadati; Pseudomonadota; Alphaproteobacteria; Rickettsiales; Anaplasmataceae
Description: bacterial SSU rRNA
Rfam family: Bacterial small subunit ribosomal RNA
Source: RNAcentral